UAGUCCACGCCGUAAACGAUGAGUGCUAGAUGGCGGGAAAUUAUUUCUCGGCUUCGUAGCUAACGCAUUAAGCACUCCGCCUGGGGACUACGAUCGCAAGAUUAAAACUCAAAGGAAUUGACGGGGGCUCGCACAAGCGGUGGAGCAUGUGGUUUAAUUCGACGCAACGCGAAGAACCUUACCAGGUCUUGACAUCCUCAGAACUUUCCAGAGAUGGAUUGGUGCCUUCGGGAACUGAGAGACAGGUGCUGCAUGGCUGUCGUCAGCUCGUGUCGUGAGAUGUUGGGUUAAGUCCCGUAACGAGCGCAACCCUUAUCCUUAGUUGCCAGCACGUAAUGGUGGGAACUCUAGGGAGACUGCCGGUGACAAACCGGAGGAAGGUGGGACGACGUCAAGUCAUCAUGGCCCUUACGACCUGGGCUACACACGUGCUACAAUGGCCGGUACAGAGGGCAGCGAAACCGCGAGGUGGAGCAAAUCUCGCAAAACUGCUCGUAGUCCGGAUUGG
Molecule: ribosomal RNA, 508 nt
Filed under: uncultured bacterium
Lineage: Bacteria
Description: bacterial SSU rRNA
Rfam family: Bacterial small subunit ribosomal RNA
Source: RNAcentral